AUUGAACGCUGGCGGCAGGCCUAACACAUGCAAGUCGAACGGUAACAGGAAACAGCUUGCUGUUUCGCUGACGAGUGGCGGACGGGUGAGUAAUGUCUGGGAAACUGCCUGAUGGAGGGGGAUAACUACUGGAAACGGUAGCUAAUACCGCAUAACGUCGCAAGACCAAAGAGGGGGACCUUCGGGCCUAUUGCCAUAGGAUGUGCCCAGAUGGGAUUAGCUUGUUGGUGGGGUAACGACUCACCAAGGGGACGAUCCCUAGCUGGUCUGAGAGGAUGACCAGCCACACUGGAACUGAGACACGGUCCAGACUCCUACGGGAGGCAGCAGUGGGGAAUAUUGCACAAUGGGCGCAAGCCUGAUGCAGCCAUGCCGCGUGUAUGAAGAAGGCCUUCGGGUUGUAAAGUACUUUCAGCGGGGAGGAAGGGAGUAAAGUUAAUACCUUUACUCAUUGACGUUACCCGCAGAAGAAGCACCGGCUAACUCCGUGCCAGCAGCCGCGGUAA
RNAcentral lists this ribosomal RNA (506 nucleotides) under uncultured bacterium. RNAcentral describes it as "partial 16S ribosomal RNA". It matches the Rfam family "Bacterial small subunit ribosomal RNA", at positions 30 to 523 of the family's 1533-position model. The record is from RNAcentral.